Molecule: transfer RNA, 55 nt
Filed under: Keratoisis sp. 20 LFD-2014
Lineage: Eukaryota; Metazoa; Cnidaria; Anthozoa; Scleralcyonacea; Keratoisididae
Description: tRNA-Met
Source: RNAcentral
UAGCGACUGUACAGGCAGUAAGUUUAUUUUUUGGAUGGAGCGGCUCUUGCUCCAU